RNAcentral lists this ribosomal RNA (468 nucleotides) under uncultured Streptococcus sp. RNAcentral describes it as "bacterial SSU rRNA". It matches the Rfam family "Bacterial small subunit ribosomal RNA", at positions 916 to 1381 of the family's 1533-position model. The record is from RNAcentral. Lineage: Bacteria; Bacillati; Bacillota; Bacilli; Lactobacillales; Streptococcaceae.
ACGGGGCCCGCACAAGCGGCGGAGCAUGCGGAUUAAUUCGAUGCAACGCGAAGAACCUUUACCAGGUCUUGACAUCCCGAUGCUAUUUCUAGAGAUAGAAAGUUACUUCGGUACAUCGGUGACAGGUGGUGCAUGGUUGUCGUCAGCUCGUGUCGUGAGAUGUUGGGUUAAGUCCCGCAACGAGCGCAACCCCUAUUGUUAGUUGCCAUCAUUCAGUUGGGCACUCUAGCGAGACUGCCGGUAAUAAACCGGAGGAAGGUGGGGAUGACGUCAAAUCAUCAUGCCCCUUAUGACCUGGGCUACACACGUGCUACAAUGGUUGGUACAACGAGUUGCGAGUCGGUGACGGCGAGCUAAUCUCUUAAGGCCAAUCUCAGUUCGGAUUGUAGGCUGCAACUCGCCUACAUGAAGUCGGAAUCGCUAGUAAUCGCGGAUCAGCACGCCGCGGUGAAUACGUUCCCGGGCCUU